GCGCCGCGGGCUCUAAAAGCUCGACUGUCGGCCGGGCGCUGUGGCGCACGCCUGUAAUCCCAGCACUUUGGGAGGGCAAGGUGGGUGGAUCAAAGUUCGCGACCAGCCUGACCAACAUGGUGAAACUACGUCUCUACUAAAUUAGCCAGGCGUAGUGGCUCAUGCCUAUAAUCCGAGCUACUUGGGAGGCUGAGACAGGAGACUCGCUUGUACCCGGCAGGCGGAGGUUGCAGUGAGCCAAGAUUGCGCCAUUGCACUCCAGCCUCGGCAACAAGAGCGAAACUCCGUCUCAAAAAAAAAAAAAGCUCAACUGUGGGCCUGCGACCUUCACGCGCCAGCGCUGGAGAGGUGCCAGGCUCCCUGGGGCCGAGACCGGGGCAGAGGACGACACUUCGUCUGGCCGCCUAGCCUCGGCCUCUAAGCUUCCUGCAUCUUCUUCAUCGUAGGUGAUGUUGGACGUGACAGAGGAGGUGACAGGUCACCCUGAGUGCGGGACUCCGUGUCCAGAAGGAAGUGGGCCUCCAGGUGCCACGCCUUUGCUUCUGCUGUGGCAUCUGAUGAGUUCCCUGUUCAUCUCUCCAGGCAUUCCCAGGGCAGUCAGCCCUGAUGCCCAGGGGCUAGGCUUGCAAGACCGCGCAUUAGGUUCGCAGAGCUAGAGUGCAAGGCCAGACCUGGUACCAACAGCAUCUCCGCCUUCGUCCUCAUCUGGUUCCCGCCUCAAACCUGUACCUGUGCGGAGGAGCCUGGAAGUUCUCCAGAACAUGAGAGCCCUUCAUGCCUAAUCUUGGCUUCCUGCUGAUAGACUUUUAAAGGGGUGUGAGUUGGCCAGCCAUGGACCUGGGUACGCUUCCAGUGGCCACAGAUGUGAACACAAUGCUGAGAGCAAUGGAAAUGUAAGCAAAGUAACAUGUAUGCUUGGUGAACAAUCAGAAGUAUGAAAUACGAGAAACCAAACCUGCCUGAUUGAUAAGAAUGGGGGGCCGGGUGCAGCGGCUCACGCUUGUAAUCCCAGCACUUUGGGAGGCUGAGGCAGGCGGAUCAUGAGGUCAGGAGUUCAAGACCAGCCUGACCAAUAUGGUGAAACCCUGUCUCUACUGAAAAUAAAAAAUUAGCCAGGUGUGGUGGCGCACACCUGUAAUCCCAGCUACUUAGGAGGCUGAGGCAGGAAAAUUGCUUGGAGGCGGAGGCUGCAGUGAGCCGAGAUCGCGCCACUGCACUCAGGCCUGGGAGACAGAGUGAGACUCUGUCUCAAAAAAACAAAACAAAAAACAAACAGAAAAAAUGGGGGGUAGGGGGUUUGAGGAGCACAAGGCUUGGACCUACUAGACCUGGAGAUUUGGGGAACGAGGGAUGCCAGCCAUGUUCCUUGUACUGUAUGCAAAAGGGAAGUAACAAGUAUUGAAUGUUCACUUACCUCUUUCAUUCCCCAAUAUGAAAUAGAUAUUCCCAUUUGCAAAAAAAAAAAAACAAAAAACAAAAAACAAAAAAAAAGAAGGCUCAGGAGAACUAGAAAGCAGAUGAAACAAAGAGGACUUCAUUCAGUACCAGAUGAAUUUAGUAUUUCUAUGUAUGUAUGUGGGUCUCCUAAUUUGAUUUUCAAAUUGUUCUUUAGAAAGAUUUUUAGCUAUAUUAAGAUUUCUUAAAAAGCUGGGCCAUGCCAGGCAGGGUGGCUCAUGCCUACAGUCCCAGCCACUCAGGAGGCUGAGGCGGGAGGAUCACUUAGCCCAAGAAAGGCUGCAGUGAGCUAUGACCAUGCCACUGCACUCCAGCCUGGGCAACAGUGAGACCCUGUCUCAAAUAAAUUGAAAAAAAAAAAAUGCUGGACCAAGAGUAUAAUUUCAGGCAUCAAUUCUGUAGUUCCUUACUAGAGAAGUUUCUCUUAACAUGUACAACACUGGAAACCAUGAGGAGGUGGCAGCACAGCAUUCUCUGCUGAGCGUGAGGUUGGCUCUUGGUGUUGCUUUGCUGCAACUGUCAUUUGCCAUUGAUGAUGGUUCUUCUCUUCCUCCGAGGGAGAGAAUGCAGUCUGAGUGGGGGAAAAAGCCUGGGCCAUGGACUUAUAGACUGUUAACAUUGGAGUCUUGCUAGUGAACAUUUUAGCUAUGAUUGGAUUGUUUGGAUAGCUGAGUUUGAUAUUUACAAUAUCCCUAGCUUACCACUUAAUGUCUGCUCUUCUAGAUGCUGUCCUUUUCCCGUAUCUUGUUAGUAUUCUCUUUAACCCAUUUUUCAGCUAAGUGAAGUGUUAGUAUUCCCUCCUCUGACACUUGUUCACUCAGCACAAAGAAUUCCUACUGUUACCUCUCCAGAACCCUACGGUCAUUAUAGUUGAGGAAGCUGAUGCAGGUGGGAGAAAGGACCAGACGCAUGGACCAUGCUGUUAAGGGAACAGGGACAGAGUGGGUUUUAAUCUGGUUCACCCAUCCACUUACUAGUUUGUAACCUGAGAGCUUCCACUUCCCCAUCCCCAACAUGGGGACAUACUGUCAUGGGACUGUUGUGAAGAAUGACAUGCCACACAGAUGAGCAGUCCUAGCUAAUGUUAGCUGUUAAUGGGUGAAGGAAAAGCAGGCACUUAACAUGUGGAUAUAGGCUAUCCCUUAUCUUUGUCUUGUGACACCAUCCUCACUAGUUCACAAUUGCCCUUUCGUACAGGCUAAGCAUCCCUUAUCCGAAAUGCUUGGAACCAUUUGUGUUUCAGAUUUCUACUUUUUUCCAGACUUCGGAAUAUUUGUAUAUACUUAAGGUUUUUAUGUAUACUUUAUGAUCUUAGAUAAUUUUAGACAGGGUCCUGCUCUGUCACCCAGUCUUGAGUGUAAUGAUACAAACACGGCUCACUGAAGCCACAGGUACAUGCCACCACACUGCACUAAUUUAAAACAAAAUUUCUUGUAGAGGCUGGGAUAGGUUUAAGCAAUCCUCCUGCCUCAGCCUCCCAAAGUGCAGGAAUCGCAGGCAUGAACCACCAUGCCUGGCCUAUGGUUUUAAUAUACAGGUUGGGCAUUCCUUACCUGAAAAUCCAAAACGUUCCAAUGAGCAUUUCCUUUGCGUGUCACGUUUACGUUUUGGGUUUUGGGUAAGGGAUGCUCAAGCCAUGUAUUAAAAACACAAAACUAGCCAGGCAUGGUGGCUCAUACUUGCAAUCUCCCAGCACUUCGGGAGGUCAAGGCGUGCAGAUCACUUAACACCAGGAGAUUGAGGUUUUCCUACAAAAAAUUAGCCAGGCAUGGUGGCAUGCCUGUAGUCCCAGCUACUUGAGGGUGGCUGAGGUGGGAUGACCGAUUUGAGCCUGGGAGUUUGAAGCUGCAGUAAGCCAUGGCUGCACCACUGCACUCCAGCCUGGGCCACAGCAAAAGAACCCCUCUCAAAAAACUUAAAACAUAAAACUCUAAUACUGACACCUACAUACUCCUACCCAUUGUCAACUCCACCUUGCUCAAGGUCCUAAAUUGUUCACUAUCCCGUCUUUGGUAUUUAUUACUCUUAGCAGAUGCAUAUAUUUAAUGUCUUUUUUGAGCUUAUGAGAAGCCCCAAGUGUUGCUUUGAACAUUCCCAGGCAUGUAUCCUAUGUCCACAUGUAGUUUCUCUUGAGUAAUGCCUCAAAGUAGAACUGCCAUUUUCCCCAAGUAGUUGUAGUAACUUACACAAAUGGUCUUUUUCACAUUGACACGAGGAGUCCCGGCUAGAAGUCACGCUUUUCAUCACUGAAUGUCUUCAUCUACUAAAUGCUAAUGGAGGUAAGGAUAAGACUCAUUCAUGUGCCUGGCAUGUCAUUAGCUGCUCUGAACACACAAUACCCACGGUUUAUUAUAUAAAUCCAAGCCUGAAAAGUUGAAAAUUCCAUUCAUGGUAUUAUUAAUUGGCAAACAAAAAAAGCUCUUAGUUUUUGGAACACAGGUUUGAAUCUUUUUUUUUUUCCACUUUGUGUAACUGGAGACCUUAAUAAACUAUUAAGUAAACUUUCUGCACUCCUUCAGUGUUACCAUAAAACUCCCAAACAUUUGGUGAGACAUUACAUAGCUAAGUCUUGUUUUUUUACAACCUUGGGAUGUAGCAGUCAACAUUCAGCAUACGUCAAAGUUCGUUCUUAGGCAGGGUUGUAUAGGGUAAAUACCCAGGAGGCUUUCUAAAGCUGGUCUGUAUUACCCUCCACCCCCA
Molecule: long non-coding RNA, 4155 nt
Filed under: Homo sapiens (human)
Lineage: Eukaryota; Metazoa; Chordata; Mammalia; Primates; Hominidae
Description: non-protein coding lnc-TLE3-6:4
Rfam family: Small nucleolar RNA U3 (bases 1827-2035)
Source: RNAcentral